UUGUGAAAUUCUUUUUGGUUGUCAUCAUAAUUUUAACCCAUUCUAAUCGAUAAAAACAAACGUUGUUUGGGUCGUCUACAUAAAAACAGAUAUGUGAAAUUUGUCACCAAAAUGAAAAAAGGAGCUGACCGACGAUAAUUAUAUUUUAGUGAACGAAAAAAAAUAGCCAAAGAAUUAUCACUGUUGACGGAAAAAAGGCUUGUGUUUUUUGGAAUCAUUUGACAUAUAUAUAGAGAUUGAUAGAUUAUGAUUACCAUGAAAAUAAUAAUCUCGUGGUCAUCAUUAUCGUGAUUGUGUCACGCCAUCGUUUUUUUUU
Molecule: non-coding RNA, 316 nt
Organism: Dermatophagoides farinae (American house dust mite)
Lineage: Eukaryota; Metazoa; Arthropoda; Arachnida; Sarcoptiformes; Pyroglyphidae
Source: RefSeq, a predicted model, not a curated record